This is a long non-coding RNA of Carassius carassius (crucian carp), 680 nucleotides long. RefSeq lists it as uncharacterized. NCBI's taxonomy places the organism in Eukaryota, Metazoa, Chordata, Actinopteri, Cypriniformes, Cyprinidae. The record is from RefSeq and is a predicted model, not a curated record. The transcript is spliced from 4 exons.
AAUAAUAUUUCCUUUCUUUCUGUCUUACAGGAUUGUUUGCAGAUAAUGCUGUUCUUCUUUUUCAGGUCUACAAUUUUGAGCUCAACAGCUCUUUUAAGAGCCAACCCUCACAAACCUUCCUAAAAACUAAAAGAGCUAUUACUGAGACUCAGUGGAUCUUGCCAUGAUCAGCUCUUCCCAGAAGAGAAGGAAGACCAAGGAAAUUAUUUGCUCAGGAUGAGGAAUGAAGAUGGCCAUCUUGUGCUCAAACAAACAGAAGUCCACUGAUGAUGUCAUCAGCCAAAUGAGGGGUUUUGACCAAGUGAUGCUCUUGAAAGGAGUGAAAGAAGAGGAUGUGGAAAAUUGUCUUCAGAGAAAAAGCUUCUCAAAAGGUCUUAAAACAGCUUGAAGAAUGGUCAGGGAUCUUAGGACUGAGAGAUCCUCUGCCUGAGAAAAAGCUACACCACAUCAGUGCUGGAUAUCAGCCACAAACUGUUUCCAGACACGAGAGAAGAAGAUCAUGAUGGGGAGAUGAAACCAGUUUAGAUGUGAUGAUAAGGAAUCAUUAUUUUCUGAAACAGUAUCACAUGUCUUAUAUGUAUCACAUGAUCUGUAUCACAGUUGACUGGAUGGGACUGUGUGACUUUUAAGGACAUUUCAUCACUCAUCUGUGUGAACUGAUUAAUAUAUGAGGUUAAUGU